This 495-nucleotide ribosomal RNA is filed under the name uncultured bacterium. RNAcentral describes it as "partial 16S ribosomal RNA". It matches the Rfam family "Bacterial small subunit ribosomal RNA", at positions 28 to 507 of the family's 1533-position model. The record is from RNAcentral.
GACGAACGCUGGCGGCGUGCCUAAUACAUGCAAGUAGAACGCUGAAGGAGGAGCUUGCUUCUCUGGAUGAGUUGCGAACGGGUGAGUAACGCGUAGGUAACCUGCCUGGUAGUGGGGGAUAACUAUUGGAAACGAUAGCUAAUACCGCAUAAUAGCAGUUGUUGCAUGAUAACUGUUUGAAAGGUGCAAUUGCACCGCUACCAGAUGGACCUGCGUUGUAUUAGCUAGUUGGUGGGGUAACGGCUCACCAAGGCGACGAUACAUAGCCGACCUGAGAGGGUGAUCGGCCACACUGGGACUGAGACACGGCCCAGACUCCUACGGGAGGCAGCAGUAGGGAAUCUUCGGCAAUGGACGGAAGGCUGACCGAGCAACGCCGCGUGAGUGAAGAAGGUUUUCGGAUCGUAAAGCUCUGUUGUAAGAGAAGAACGAGUGUGAGAGUGGAAAGUUCACAUUGUGACGGUAUCUUACCAGAAAGGGACGGCUAACUACGUG